Molecule: long non-coding RNA, 8066 nt
Filed under: Triticum aestivum (bread wheat)
Lineage: Eukaryota; Viridiplantae; Streptophyta; Magnoliopsida; Poales; Poaceae
Description: long non-coding RNA (TAES_LNC023314)
Source: RNAcentral
GCAGGAGGAAGCAGCCGCGCCGCAUGGGGACGAGGCCGGACGAGCUCGCGUCGAGGCUGACGGACAGGAGGGGGCAGGCAGCAGUAGAGCAGAGCAGGCAGCAGCCGCGCCUUCCGGCAUGGGGACUAGGCCGGGGGAGCUCGCGGUGAGGCUGGCGAACUGGAAGGUGGGAGGAGCCAGCGGCACACGAGCACGAGGCGUACAGGACGACCAAGCUCACCCGGCAUUGCCAUCAGGUACGGCAUCGAGGUAAUCUCCGUACCCCUCGCUGUACUAAUCGCUGAAUAUUAUUUGGUUGGUGCUGAGAUGCACACAUGAAACUAUGGGGAUCUGUAGGCGCUAUGUUCUUCCUGCUGAAAUCUGAGAAGGGCUCUAGGCCCAUAUUGCAAUUUCUGAAAAAUCUCUAAGGGCCCAUGUGGGUUAUAUGGCACUAGGUGUGUGGGAAGUUUAGUCCCACCUUGGAAGUGGAAGGAGAGUUGGAGUGGUUUAUAAGGGACUCUCUCCCUCAUGCUAUUGGAGCUUGAGAAGAGAUGAGGCCCUCGCGCACUCCUCCUCCUCCGCUCGCCUCGCCGCGCCGCGGGUUGCGGGAUUGAGCCGAGCCGAGCUCACUCCUAUGCGCUUCUUUUUGCCGGUCAGGAACGGAGAGUCUUUGACAGGUGGGGCCACGAUCUGAGACGUCGGAUCGUGGGCUACCGAUUUGGAUGUGGGUUCAGCCCACGUCUCUCCACGCGCGGCCGCACAUAUAUAUGUGAGGCGCUGCCAACCCUAGCCGUCACAAAACAGAACGCAUCUCCGCCUCCACGCCCACGUCGUUCCUCUGCUGCUGCUGCCGCCGGCGACUCCGUCCCGUUCACCGCAUACACGGUUGACGGGAGAGCAGGCCUCCGAAACCACGCCUCUCCGGAUCCUGUACGGGGAGAGGGGCGAUUAGGUUUUUGGGUAGCGACUACGCGACUGCUCGCUUCUGUUCAUCUACGUCCGCAUCACCUUCAUCAUCACCAUGUCGACCGACACCGACCGUGCCGCCGCUGAGAAAGCCGAGGCCGACAAGAAGGCCGCCGAGGAUGCCGCGGCUGCUGUCACCGCCACCGCCACCGCGUGGCCGAUUGGAGGGUAUACAUCGCUUAUCCCUCUCGUGUUUCUUUCUGUUGUAGCAGUACUAGCCGUAUGCGUAGAUGUCUCUACUAUAUGCGUAGUACAUGCUCUGUUAGAUCAUAAUCAGUAUGUUAUCAAUGCUGUCCAUGUCAUGCUCAUGAUUUAUUCAUGGAUUAAUUUAAUCGAAAAACUGCCUAUUUUCUCAUCAAUCCAAAAACCUAAGAUCUGUAGGAGUUUUUCGAAUUCUGAUUUUGCUGCUGCACUGAAACCGUCCCCGUUUACGGGGACGUACUUUAAGCGUUGGCAGACUAAAACCACCUUAUGGCUCACGGCCAUGAACGUGUUCUGGGUCGCCGGUGUGACUCCUACAGGAACGAUCGCUCCUGAACAGGAGAAGGCGUUUAAGGAGGCCACCGUGGUGUUCCUCGGGGCAGUUCUGAGCGUGAUUGGAGAUAAGCUGGUUGAUGCAUAUUUACAUAUGCGGUCUGCCAAGGACUUGUGGGAGGCGCUCGAAUCUAAGUUCGGGGCUGCCGAUGCAGGGAGCGAGAUGUAUAUUAUAGAGCAGUUCCACGAUUACAAGAUGGUUGAAAACCGUCCUGUAUUGGAGCAGGCUCAUGAGAUAAUAUGCAUUGUUAAGGAGCUUGAGCUUCUUAAGUGCGAGUUACCGGGCAAAUUUGUCGCGGGCUGCAUAAUCGCUAAGCUCCCCAAUUCCUGGAGGAACUUUGCCACCACUCUGAAACAUCAGAGGCGUGAAUUCUCUGUGGAGGAUGUCAUUGGCCAUCUGAGUGUUGAGCAGAACUCAAGGGCAAAGGACUCGCACGGAAAAGGGGUCGAAGGAACUUCUGUGGCCAAUAUGGUGCAUCAGAAGAACUCCAAUUCCCACAAGCCCAGGGGAAAGAACGGUGUCCAACAGACUGCCGACUUUAAGAAGAAGGGUAAGAAGACCUUCAAGAAGAACAAGAAGGAUGAGGGCUGCUUUACUUGUGGUUCGGCUGAACAUUGGGGCAACAAGUGCCCAAACAAGUUUAAGAAGUCAGGACAGGACUCCAAGUCUGUCAACAUGAUUGUGAGCAACAAUGAGAAUGGUGCAUCUGGGUACGGUAAUUUAUUUACUGUUUUUUCAGUGUUUCAGCCUACCGAUUGGUGGGUGGAUACAGGUGCAGGUGUUCAUGUGUGUGCUGACAUUUCAUUGUUCUCUUCUUACCAGGUCACAGGCCACGGGUCCGUAUUGAUGGGGAAUGGCGCGAGUGCUUCUGUUCAUGGUGUUGGCACGGUCGAUCUGAAGUUUACUUCGGGAAGGAUCGUGCAGCUGAAGAACGUGCAGCAUGUCCCCGCCAUCAAGAAGAACCUCGUUAGUGGCUCCCUUCUAUGUAGAGAAGGGUUUAAGUUGGUAUUCGAGUCUAAUAAAUUAGUUGUUAUUAAGUAUGGACUAUUUGUUGGAAAAGGUUAUGAGAGCGGAGGGAUGUUCCGCCUUUCCCUCGCAGAUUUCUGUAAUAAAGUCGUGAACCAUAUUCAUUCGAGUAUUAAUGAAUCUGAGGUUUGGCACUCACGUCUUUGUCACAUAAGUUUUGGUGUUAUGACGCGGCUAGCCAAGUUGGAUUUAAUCCCGAGUUUCACUUUAGCCAAAGGUUCUAAGUGCCUUUCAUGUGUGCAAGCUAAGCAACCUCGCAAGCCUCAUAAGGCCGCGGAGGAGAGACACCUGGCACCAUUAGAACUCAUACAUUCUGAUCUUUGUGAGAUGAAUGGUGUAUUGACUAAAGGUGGAAAGAGAUACUUCAUGACAUUGAUAGAUGAUUCCACUAGAUAUUGCUAUGUUUAUCUGUUAAAUACUAAGGAUGAGGCUCUACGCUACUUUAAAAUCUAUAAGGCAGAAGUUGAGAAUCAACUUGAAAAGAAAAUUAAACGAGUCCGGUCAGACCGUGGUGGAGAGUACUUCUCGAGUGAGUUUGACUCCUUCUGUUCGGAACAUGGCAUUAUUCAUGAGAGGACGCCUCCCUAUUCACCCCAGUCAAAUGGGGUUGCCGAGCGGAAAAACCGUACUCUAACUGAUUUGGUUAACGCCAUGUUAGAUACAUCGGGUUUAUCCAAGGCAUGGUGGGGGGAGGCUAUAUUGACGGCAUGUCAUGUCCUGAAUAAAGUUCCGACAAAGGAUAAUGAGAUCACUCCCUAUGAGAAAUGGGCAAAGAAAAGGACGACACUCUCGUACCUGCGCACUUGGGGCUGUUUGGCGAAGGUCAACGUGCCGAUCCCCAAAAAGCGUAAGCUUGGACCCAAGACUGUGGACUGCGUUAAUUUGGGCUACGCUAAGAACAGCGUUGGCUAUAGAUUUCUAGUAGUGAAAUCUGAGGUACCUGACCAGAAGGUCGGUACAAUUAUGGAGUCUAAGGAUGCUACAUUCUUCGAGGAUAUUUUUCCUAUGAGAGAUAUGCAAAGCACUUCUAGACAGGAAUCUGAGGAGACUCCUGAACCUGCCAUCCCUAUGGAAUAUUAUGAACAAACACAUGAUGAAAAUCCUGAGGAGGAUGACGAGGAAACCCUUGGUAGGGGCAAGAGACAAAGGACUGCAAAGACCUUUGGUGAUGAUUUCUUCGUGUACCUCGUGGAUGAUACUCCAACUUCUAUUUCAGAAGCGUAUGCCUCUCCAGAAGCUGACUACUGGAAGGAUGCGGUCCGUAGCGAGAUGGAUUCCAUCAUGGCUAAUGGGACAUGGGAGAUCACCGACCGUCCCUAUGGUUGCAAACCACUGGGAUGUAAGUGGGUGUUCAAGAAAAAGCUUAGGCCCGAUGGUACGAUUGAAAAGUACAAGGCUAGACUUGUGGCCAAGGGCUAUGACCAGAAAGAAGAGGAAGAUUUCUUCGAUACUUAUUCACCUGUGGCUAGACUGACCACCAUUCGAGUAUUACUCUCGUUGGCGGCCUCACAUGGUCUUCUCGUCCACCAAAUGGAUGUCAAGACGGCUUUUCUGAAUGGAGAGCUAAAUGAGGAAAUCUACAUGCAACAACCAGAUGGCUUUGUGAUAGAUGGUCAGGAAAGAAAGGUGUGUAGGUUGCUGAAAUCUCUAUAUGGCCUAAAGCAAGCACCUAAGCAAUGGCAUGAUAAGUUUAAUACAACUCUGACAUCUGUUGGCUUCGUUGUUAAUGAAGCUGACAAAUGUGUAUACUAUCGCCAUGGUGGGGGCGAAGGAGUUAUACUGUGCUUGUAUGUUGAUGACAUACUGAUAUUCGGAACCAACCUCAAAGUCAUUGAGGAGGUUAAGUCCUUUCUGUCUCAGAACUUUGAGAUGAAGGAUCUUGGUGUGGCUGAUGUUAUCUUGAAUAUCAAGCUACUGAGAGAUAAUGAGGGUGGGAUCACACUUCUGCAAUCCCAUUAUGUUGAGAAGGUGUUGAGUCGCUUUGGAUAUUCGGACUGCACACCAUCUCAAACACCAUAUGAUCCUAGCGUGUUGAUUCGAAAGUCCAAAGGCAUGGCUAAAGAUCAAUUGAGAUACUCUCAAAUCAUUGGUUCACUGAUGUACCUAGCGAGCGUAACGAGGCCUGACAUCGCGUUUGCUGUGAGCAAACUGAGCCGGUUUGUUUCCAAACCGGGUGAUGUACAUUGGCAUGCUGUAGAAAGAGUUAUGCGCUAUCUCAAAGGUACUAUGAAUUAUGGACUUCACUAUACCGGAGACCCGUCGGUACUUGAAGGGUAUAGUGAUGCGAAUUGGAUCUCUGAUGCUGAUGAGAUGAAGGCCACAACUGGGUAUAUGUUUACUCUUGGAGGUGGCGCUGUUUCUUGGAAGUCUUGCAAGCAAACGAUCUUAACGAGAUCGACAAUGGAAGCAGAAUUAACAGCAUUAGACACUUCUGGUGUUGAAGCAGGAUGGCUUCGAGAUCUUUUGAUGGACUUGCCACUGGUUGAUAAACCGGUUCCGGCUAUCCUUAUGAACUGUGAUAAUCAGACUGUCAUCACCAAGGUGAAGAGUUCAAAGGACAACAUGAAGUCCAACAAACACAUAAGAAUGAGAUUAAAGGCUGUCAGAAAAUUAAGAAACUCCGGAGUGAUAGCGUUGGACUAUGUCCAUACGGCUAAGAAUCUGGCAGAUCCCUUUACGAAAGGGCUAUCACGUGUAGUGAUAGAUAGUGCAUCGAGGGAGAUGGGUAUGAGACCCACAUGAGUUACCAUGGUGGUAACCCAACCUAUGUGAUCGGAGAUCCCGUGAAGUAGGACCUGGGGAAACAAGCCAGUGGUGAACUGAGGAGAGUAACUUACUAACCCACUCCGUUGGAGAUGCAAUACUCUCGGAAAUUGUACGGAAGGAUGACUAUUGUCUUAAUGUGUUCCAAGGCUUAUAUGUAUAAGCAAGAUGCUAUCCUACAGAGCGAUCUUUAGAGGAACACACCUAUGUGAGCCCGACUGCUAGUCACAGUCUAUGAGAUUGGGGUGAUCUCUAGUAAACUCAUGAAUAGGCCAGGAGUGUGACUUAUAUGCUCCACCCGAGGGGUCAGCCUUCGGCAGCCCAGUACUAGUAAGACAUGUGGUGAAACUUCUUUACGCCAAACUGACAAUUCAAGGCAUAGUCCAUUGUUCAGUUGUGAAGGAAUGUAGCUACUUGCUCUAGGUGAAGCUCAACCUUAACAGGUCUUCACUGAAACACUAGUAUAUCAAAACAGUAUUUGGAACAGAGGACACUAUGGGCCCUCGAGAUCUGGUGGGGGAUUGCUGAAAUCUGAGAAGGGCUCUAGGCCCAUAUUGCAAUUUCUGAAAAAUCUCUAAGGGCCCAUGUGGGUUAUAUGGCACUAGGUGUGUGGGAAGUUUAGUCCCACCUUGGAAGUGGAAGGAGAGUUGGAGUGGUUUAUAAGGGACUCUCUCCCUCAUGCUAUUGGAGCUUGAGAAGAGAUGAGGCCCUCGCACACUCCUCCUCCUCCGCUCGCCUCGCCACGCCACGCCUCGUCACGACGCGCCGCGGGUUGCGGGAUUGAGCCGAGCCGAGCUCACUCCUAUGCGCUUCUUUUUGCCGGUCAGGAACGGAGAGUCUUUGACAGGUGGGGCCACGAUCUAAGACGUCGGAUCGUGGGCUACCGAUUUGGACGUGGGUUCAGCCCACGUCUCUCCACGCGCGGCCGCACAUAUAUAUGUGGGGCGCUGCCAACCCUAGCCGUCAUAAAACAGAACGCAUCUCCGCCUCCACGCCCACGUCGUUCCUCUGCUGCUGCUGCCGCCGGCGACUCCGUCCCGUUCACCGCGUACACGGUUGACGGGAGAGCAGGCCUCCGAAACCACGCCUCUCCGGAUCCUGUACGGGGAGAGGGGCGAUUAGGUUUUUGGGUAGCGACUACGCGACUGCUCGCUUCUGUUCAUCUACGUCCGCAUCACCUUCAUCAUCACCAUGUCGACCGACACCGACCGUGCCGCCGCUGAGAAAGCCGAGGCCGACAAGAAGGCCGCCGAGGAUGCCGCGGCUGCUGUCACCGCCACCGCCACCGCGUGGCCGAUUGGAGGGUAUACAUCGCUUAUCCCUCUCGUGUUUCUUUCUGUUGUAGCAGUACUAGCCGUAUGCGUAGAUGUCUCUACUAUAUGCGUAGUACAUGCUCUGUUAGAUCAUAAUCAGUAUGUUAUCAAUGCUGUCCAUGUCAUGCUCAUGAUUUAUUCAUGGAUUAAUUUAAUCGAAAAACUGCCUAUUUUCUCAUCACUUCCUGGAUAGAACAAUACUUGUAUGAAAGAACUUUUAAUUAUCAUAGGAGAAUAAUAUUUGGUGAAAAGUUUUGGCAUAUUCCAAAUUGACUUUACAUAGUCCUAAAAACAAAUUUGGGGAGUACAACUUGGAAUGAGAAUAACAAUUUAUUAUCUAAAUCAUGGCUUUUUGACUUGACAGUACAUUGCAUUCCACUGGGGAUAGUUCCGUAUGAACAUCCACAUGUUGAGGAAUUUGAAUGAUUGAUUUUGUUCUAACCUAUACAUCUCUAGAGAUUUGGAAACCAAGUCCUGGUUAUAUUGUCCAGUAGCUGUGAAUGCAUCGUCGACCCCGCGCCACAUGCCAUCGAAUAGCAGAAUUUCCGAGCUCAUCUUACCCCAACGGCGUUUGAUUUGGAUAGGUUGUCUUCUUCGGUUAUCGGUGGUAUUUGCGUUAUAUUCUUCAGCGACUUGAUUCCAGUAAUCCCGUGCAGCGUUUUCAUUGCCAAUAACAAAAUCAGUGGGAACAUUUAACCAAGCAUUUACCAACUCAAUUCAGAAAAUGUUGUUAGGCCAAGCUUUUCAUGAUAUAGUAACUACUAAUAAUUAAACAAAUGACUUACCAGGCAUAGAUUAUCCUCUUCGGACCAUUGCAAGUGUAUGUCUCCGAUGUUGGCAUGGCCGAUAUCCAUUGAAAGAUGUGAUGUGUAUGAACAAAAACUUGUAUCAGAUUUGAGUAGGAUUGUGCAAGUGUAUGAGCAGAAAUUUUUGGGAUGGGCGUGGAACUGGAACCUGCAACUAGGACUAUAUAUAACGAGAUAGCUUUACUGCAUGCAUGAUUUAGUUAGGCCGAUUUAACCGUGUAUGACUGAAAGAAUGGUUGAAGUGACUUGACAUAUAUUUUUCUAACUUUAUCUCACCGUGCUUUCAGGUUUUGAGAUUGGGAUCUUUGUCCCUGUUGGACCAGCUUGACAACCACAAGCAUUUCAUUUUUACACCUUUAUUUUGUAUCAAUUCAAUUUUUAUUGUAAGUAUUUAGGUUUCAUGCAGAUUUAUAAUAGAUAAACAAGCUCUAUAGUUUAUUGUAAAUUAUUGUUGUGCGUGAAGAGGAAAGAAAAGGAUUAUUUGUCUGGCUGCAAAACGAAAUCAGCUAAGUUAGUUGAGUAGAGCUGGUUUUUAGUACAACGACCAGCUCAGUUUGUUGAGCAGUUGCCAAUUUGUAGCGCUCUAGGUAGCGCCCGCUGCCAGAUCUGAAUGGAGAAAAAGUCUCGGGUGAGAAAAAUAGGCUAAGCGCUCGGCGACUGGCUCGGCAUCGAUGCCAG